UACGUAGGGGUGCAAGCGUUAAUCGGAAUUACUGGGCGUAAAGCGUGCGCAGGCGGUGAGCUGUGUCCGAUGUGAAAGCCCCCGGGGCUUAACCUGGGAAUGGCCAUUGGAAACUGGCUCGCUGGAGUGUGGCAGAGGGGGGGUGGAAUUCCGCGUGUAGCAGGUGAAAUGCGUAGAGAAUUGCGGAGGAACACCGAUGGCGAAGGCAGCCCCCUGGGCGUAACACUGACGCUCAGCACGAAAGCGUGGGGAGCAAACAGGG
RNAcentral lists this ribosomal RNA (262 nucleotides) under uncultured bacterium. RNAcentral describes it as "partial 16S ribosomal RNA". It matches the Rfam family "Bacterial small subunit ribosomal RNA", at positions 524 to 777 of the family's 1533-position model. The record is from RNAcentral.